This 912-nucleotide ribosomal RNA is filed under the name Triticum aestivum (bread wheat). RNAcentral describes it as "partial small subunit ribosomal RNA". The record is from RNAcentral. Lineage: Eukaryota; Viridiplantae; Streptophyta; Magnoliopsida; Poales; Poaceae.
AUGCUUGGGUUAAGUAGGAACGGGCGCGCGCCGGGCAUUACCGGAAACGGACGUCGCCGACGGCACCGACGGCUGUGGCGCGGGCGCCGGGAGCUGCAGCAGUGGCGGAGGCUGAGGGUGAAGACGAUGAUGCUUCUGCUGCUGCUGCUGCUGCUGGUUGAGGAGAGGCUUCGGCGGGGAGGGUGGCGGUGGUGGUGGUGGAGGAGGGGGCGGCAGGGCGAGCGGGGCUGGAGCCGCGGGCGCGAUCGCGGCGCCGCCCCGGCGCGCGGCGCGGCGGGAGAGCACGUCGAGGAGCGCGUCGUAGACCUCCGGGGCGAGGUUGGUUGGCAGGUUGCGCUCCUUGCGGUCGUGCCGUUCCAUGGUCCAGUAGGACGGGAGCGGCGUCGGCGGCUGUGCCGGGGCGCCGUCCACGGGAGGGGUGGCGGCGAUGGAGGCGCGGCGGGCCUCGUAGUCGCGGACCUUCUUGUAGUCGCGGAGGAGGUUGUCCCACUUGUCGUUGCACUGGUUCUGGCUGCGGAGGCAGCCGUUGAUCCAGCAGUAGUUCUCGACCCACUUCCAGCGCUGCUCGGCGGAGCGUGGCGUGGGCGGCGAGGACGGCCCCGCCAUGGCCACGCCGCCCGCGCCCCCACCGGCCCGGCGGUCGUCGUCGAGGCGCUUGGCGGUGAUGAGGAUGAGCGUCUCGUGCAUCGUCCAGUUGCCCUUGCGGUAGUCCCUGGGCGCGGACGCCGGGGAGGGGGGCGGCGCCGCGGGCGGGUACGCGUGCGGCGGCGGCGUGGAGAGGUGCAGGUGGUGGUGGGGGUGGUGCGGGUGCGCGUGGUAGGCGGCGAGCGGGGACGCCGACGCCGCCGCGGCCGCCGAGGAGGACGGCGAGGGGUCCGACGACGCCGACAUGGCGAGCUACAGAGCUACUAG